Molecule: ribosomal RNA, 253 nt
Filed under: uncultured bacterium
Lineage: Bacteria
Description: partial 16S ribosomal RNA
Rfam family: Bacterial small subunit ribosomal RNA
Source: RNAcentral
UACGGAGGGGGCUAGCGUUGUUCGGAAUUACUGGGCGUAAAGCGCACGUAGGCGGACAUUUAAGUCAGGGGUGAAACCCCGGGGCUCAACCCCGGAACUGCCUUUGAUACUGGGUGUCUGGAGGUCGAGAGAGGUGAGUGGAAUUCCGAGUGUAGAGGUGAAAUUCGUAGAUAUUCGGAGGAACACCAGUGGCGAAGGCGGCUCACUGGCUCGAUACUGACGCUGAGGUGCGAAAGCGUGGGGAGCAAACAGG